Ipomoea nil (Japanese morning glory) is the source of this 91-nucleotide long non-coding RNA. RefSeq lists it as uncharacterized. The transcript has 3 exons. The record is from RefSeq and is a predicted model, not a curated record. Lineage: Eukaryota; Viridiplantae; Streptophyta; Magnoliopsida; Solanales; Convolvulaceae.
GCACUAUCGCUUGAUUUUUACAGGCUGUUUUGUUCGGGAAUAUGGAGCGAGGGGAGUUGACAGAGUAGGAGACUGCCAUCUACGAUGCUCA